Molecule: ribosomal RNA, 408 nt
Filed under: uncultured bacterium
Lineage: Bacteria
Description: partial 16S ribosomal RNA
Rfam family: Bacterial small subunit ribosomal RNA
Source: RNAcentral
AUUGAACGCUGGCGGCGUGCUUAACACAUGCAAGUCGAACGAAGUGGCGAACGGGUGAGUAAUACGUGGGUAACCUGCCCUCCUUUUUGGGAUAAGCCUUGGAAACGGGGUCUAAUACCGAAUAAAGGGGGAUGGGCUCGCGGCCUAUCAGCUUGUUGGUGGGGUGAUGGCCUACCAAGGCGGUGACGGGUAGCCGGCCUGAGAGGAUGACCAGCCACACUGGAACUGAGACACGAUCCAGACUCCUACGGGAGGCAGCAGUGGGGAAUAGUGCACAAUGGGCGCAAGCCUGAUGCAGUCAUGCCGCGUGUAUGAAGAAGGCCUUCGGGUUGUAAAGUACUUUCAGCGAGGAGGCGUUACUCGCAGAAGAAGCACCGGCUAACUCCGUGCCAGCCGCCGCGGUAAUUC